This 474-nucleotide ribosomal RNA is filed under the name Klebsiella quasipneumoniae. RNAcentral's name for it is "bacterial SSU rRNA". It matches the Rfam family "Bacterial small subunit ribosomal RNA", at positions 1 to 472 of the family's 1533-position model. Lineage: Bacteria; Pseudomonadati; Pseudomonadota; Gammaproteobacteria; Enterobacterales; Enterobacteriaceae. The record is from RNAcentral.
AAAUUGAAGAGUUUGAUCAUGGCUCAGAUUGAACGCUGGCGGCAGGCCUAACACAUGCAAGUCGAACGGUAGCACAGAGAGCUUGCUCUCGGGUGACGAGUGGCGGACGGGUGAGUAAUGUCUGGGAAACUGCCUGAUGGAGGGGGAUAACUACUGGAAACGGUAGCUAAUACCGCAUAACGUCGCAAGACCAAAGAGGGGGACCUUCGGGCCUCUUGCCAUCAGAUGUGCCCAGAUGGGAUUAGCUAGUAGGUGGGGUAAUGGCUCACCUAGGCGACGAUCCCUAGCUGGUCUGAGAGGAUGACCAGCCACACUGGAACUGAGACACGGUCCAGACUCCUACGGGAGGCAGCAGUGGGGAAUAUUGCACAAUGGGCGCAAGCCUGAUGCAGCCAUGCCGCGUGUAUGAAGAAGGCCUUCGGGUUGUAAAGUACUUUCAGCGGGGAGGAAGGGGCUGAGCUUAAUACGCUCAGC